RNAcentral lists this ribosomal RNA (2816 nucleotides) under Klebsiella pneumoniae. RNAcentral's name for it is "partial 23S ribosomal RNA". It matches the Rfam family "Bacterial large subunit ribosomal RNA". Lineage: Bacteria; Pseudomonadati; Pseudomonadota; Gammaproteobacteria; Enterobacterales; Enterobacteriaceae. The record is from RNAcentral.
GGUUAAGCGACUAAGCGUACACGGUGGAUGCCCUGGCAGUCAGAGGCGAUGAAGGACGUGCUAAUCUGCGAAAAGCGUCGGUAAGGUGAUAUGAACCGUUAUAACCGGCGAUGUCCGAAUGGGGAAACCCAGUGUGAUUCGUCACACUAUCGUUAACUGAAUACAUAGGUUAACGAGGCGAACCGGGGGAACUGAAACAUCUAAGUACCCCGAGGAAAAGAAAUCAACCGAGAUUCCCCCAGUAGCGGCGAGCGAACGGGGAGCAGCCCAGAGUCUGAAUCAGCUUGUGUGUUAGUGGAACGGUCUGGAAAGUCCGACGGUACAGGGUGAUAGUCCCGUACACCAAAAUGCACAGGCUGUGAACUCGAAGAGUAGGGCGGGACACGUGGUAUCCUGUCUGAAUAUGGGGGGACCAUCCUCCAAGGCUAAAUACUCCUGACUGACCGAUAGUGAACCAGUACCGUGAGGGAAAGGCGAAAAGAACCCCGGCGAGGGGAGUGAAAAAGAACCUGAAACCGUGUACGUACAAGCAGUGGGAGCACCUUCGGGUGUGACUGCGUACCUUUUGUAUAAUGGGUCAGCGACUUAUAUUCUGUAGCAAGGUUAACCGUAUAGGGGAGCCGCAGGGAAACCGAGUCUUAACUGGGCGUUAAGUUGCAGGGUAUAGACCCGAAACCCGGUGAUCUAGCCAUGGGCAGGUUGAAGGUUGGGUAACACUAACUGGAGGACCGAACCGACUAAUGUUGAAAAAUUAGCGGAUGACUUGUGGCUGGGGGUGAAAGGCCAAUCAAACCGGGAGAUAGCUGGUUCUCCCCGAAAGCUAUUUAGGUAGCGCCUCGUGAAUUCAUCUUCGGGGGUAGAGCACUGUUUCGGCUAGGGGGUCAUCCCGACUUACCAACCCGAUGCAAACUACGAAUACCGAAGAAUGUUAUCACGGGAGACACACGGCGGGUGCUAACGUCCGUCGUGAAGAGGGAAACAACCCAGACCGCCAGCUAAGGUCCCAAAGUCAUGGUUAAGUGGGAAACGAUGUGGGAAGGCACAGACAGCCAGGAUGUUGGCUUAGAAGCAGCCAUCAUUUAAAGAAAGCGUAAUAGCUCACUGGUCGAGUCGGCCUGCGCGGAAGAUGUAACGGGGCUAAACCAUGCACCGAAGCUGCGGCAGCGACACUAUGUGUUGUUGGGUAGGGGAGCGUUCUGUAAGCCUGCGAAGGUGUGCUGUGAGGCAUGCUGGAGGUAUCAGAAGUGCGAAUGCUGACAUAAGUAACGAUAAAGCGGGUGAAAAGCCCGCUCGCCGGAAGACCAAGGGUUCCUGUCCAACGUUAAUCGGGGCAGGGUGAGUCGACCCCUAAGGCGAGGCCGAAAGGCGUAGUCGAUGGGAAACAGGUUAAUAUUCCUGUACUUGGUGUUACUGCGAAGGGGGGACGGAGAAGGCUAUGUUAGCCGGGCGACGGUUGUCCCGGUUUAAGCAUGUAGGCUGGUUGUCCAGGCAAAUCCGGAUAAUCAAGGCUGAGGUGUGAUGACGAGGCACUACGGUGCUGAAGUAACAAAUGCCCUGCUUCCAGGAAAAGCCUCUAAGCAUCAGGUAACAUCAAAUCGUACCCCAAACCGACACAGGUGGUCAGGUAGAGAAUACCAAGGCGCUUGAGAGAACUCGGGUGAAGGAACUAGGCAAAAUGGUGCCGUAACUUCGGGAGAAGGCACGCUGGUGUGUAGGUGAAGUCCCUGCGGAUGGAGCUGAGACCAGUCGAAGAUACCAGCUGGCUGCAACUGUUUAUUAAAAACACAGCACUGUGCAAACACGAAAGUGGACGUAUACGGUGUGACGCCUGCCCGGUGCCGGAAGGUUAAUUGAUGGGGUUAUCCGUAAGGAGAAGCUCUUGAUCGAAGCCCCGGUAAACGGCGGCCGUAACUAUAACGGUCCUAAGGUAGCGAAAUUCCUUGUCGGGUAAGUUCCGACCUGCACGAAUGGCGUAAUGAUGGCCAGGCUGUCUCCACCCGAGACUCAGUGAAAUUGAACUCGCUGUGAAGAUGCAGUGUACCCGCGGCAAGACGGAAAGACCCCGUGAACCUUUACUAUAGCUUGACACUGAACAUUGAGCCUUGAUGUGUAGGAUAGGUGGGAGGCUUUGAAGCGUGGACGCCAGUCUGCGUGGAGCCAACCUUGAAAUACCACCCUUUAAUGUUUGAUGUUCUAACGUUGGCCCCUGACCGGGGUUGCGGACAGUGUCUGGUGGGUAGUUUGACUGGGGCGGUCUCCUCCCAAAGCGUAACGGAGGAGCACGAAGGUUAGCUAAUCCUGGUCGGACAUCAGGAGGUUAGUGCAAUGGCAUAAGCUAGCUUGACUGCGAGCGUGACGGCGCGAGCAGGUGCGAAAGCAGGUCAUAGUGAUCCGGUGGUUCUGAAUGGAAGGGCCAUCGCUCAACGGAUAAAAGGUACUCCGGGGAUAACAGGCUGAUACCGCCCAAGAGUUCAUAUCGACGGCGGUGUUUGGCACCUCGAUGUCGGCUCAUCACAUCCUGGGGCUGAAGUAGGUCCCAAGGGUAUGGCUGUUCGCCAUUUAAAGUGGUACGCGAGCUGGGUUUAGAACGUCGUGAGACAGUUCGGUCCCUAUCUGCCGUGGGCGCUGGAGAAUUGAGGGGGGCUGCUCCUAGUACGAGAGGACCGGAGUGGACGCAUCACUGGUGUUCGGGUUGUCAUGCCAAUGGCACUGCCCGGUAGCUAAAUGCGGAAGAGAUAAGUGCUGAAAGCAUCUAAGCACGAAACUUGCCCCGAGAUGAGUUCUCCCUGAGACUUUAAGUCUCCUGAAGGAACGUU